Molecule: long non-coding RNA, 330 nt
Filed under: Marmota monax (woodchuck)
Lineage: Eukaryota; Metazoa; Chordata; Mammalia; Rodentia; Sciuridae
Source: RNAcentral
ACGUGUGAGCACGUGUGAAGGAGGGAAGAUUGGUAGAUUCAUGUGGCCUUGUUAAUGAUUGAGUAAUGAUGGAAAUGGAUCCAAAAUAAAAAGUGACUUCUCUACCAAAGCAAUAGAAGAUUCUUCAUAUCACCCUCCAUUGCUGAAUUCAUUUUUGAAGAAGAUGCAAAACAAGUGAAAUACAGAAAACUGAAGAGAAGAAAACCUCAUUUUGGAACUUUCUCCUUGACUAUUCCUAACCCCCUCUUUCUACUUGUUUUAAUUUUGUUCUGAAUUUAUAAAUAUUGAAGACCAAAGAAAUAGAAUAUAUAUUUAGGAGCUUUAUACCAA